AUUGAACGCUGGCGGCAUGCUUUACACAUGCAAGUCGAACGGUAACAGGCCGCAAGGUGCUGACGAGUGGCGAACGGGUGAGUAAUGCAUCGGAACGUGCCCAGUCGUGGGGGAUAACUACUCGAAAGAGUAGCUAAUACCGCAUACGAUCUAUGGGUGAAAGCGGGGGGCCGUAAGGCCUCGCGCGAUUGGAGCGGCCGAUGUCAGAUUAGGUAGUUGGUGGGGUAAAGGCUCACCAAGCCAACGAUCUGUAGCUGGUCUGAGAGGACGACCAGCCACACUGGGACUGAGACACGGCCCAGACUCCCACGGGAGGCAGCAGUGGGGAAUUUUGGACAAUGGGCGCAAGCCUGAUCCAGCAAUGCCGCGUGCAGGAAGAAGGCCUUCGGGUUGUAAACUGCUUUUGUACGGAACGAAACGGCUCUGGUUAAUACCCGGGGCUAAUGACGGCACCGUAAGAAUAAGCACCGGCUAACUACGUG
This 482-nucleotide ribosomal RNA is filed under the name uncultured bacterium. RNAcentral's name for it is "partial 16S ribosomal RNA". It matches the Rfam family "Bacterial small subunit ribosomal RNA", at positions 30 to 507 of the family's 1533-position model. The record is from RNAcentral.